Molecule: microRNA, 21 nt
Filed under: Picea abies (Norway spruce)
Lineage: Eukaryota; Viridiplantae; Streptophyta; Pinopsida; Pinales; Pinaceae
Description: pab-miR11539b
Source: miRBase by way of RNAcentral
UGCGGCAGGUAGAUUAUAGGU